GUCCAGGCUGGUCUUGAACUCCUAACCUUGUGAUCCACCCUCCUCGGCCUCCCAAAGUGCUGGGAUUACAGGCGUGAGCCACUGUGCCCAACCAACUUCACUAGUUUAUUAUUAUUAAAGCCUAUUUGUGGUAAGGAGUGUCAAAGUUUGUUUACACUUAGUAGUUACUGAUCAACUAUUACACAACAUGUUUGGGCAUACAGUAGUUGAUCAAUAAAUAUCAGUAAGCCAGAGGGUUCCAGAUCUCCAGCCUUAGCUGACUUCCUCUUAAAACACUGGGUUUUAUCCUCAUCAUCAAAAGUAUUUCAAGCACUUUAUUUCUGGAACAUGUGGAAUCUUUCCUUUUAAAGUAUUUUGUAGCCAGUUUCAAAAUGAUGCUGAUAUUUUGGAAGAAUAUUAAUGUGUCCAUCAUAAACAGAGAACAGUUGAGGCUAGGUAGGGGAAAUUUGAAGUCCCACUUCCUUGUCUGGCUUGAUGGCUGGUCUUCCUAGCAUGUGAGUUAUUUAGACGGAUAUGGAAGGAUGGAAAGCCAGAGGCGCCCUAUGUUGACGAUUUCUCUCCAAGUGCUCUUGUUGCGCAGCACAGAGGAACUCUCGAUUGACUGGACGCAUGCUCCCACCUUGUGGUGGCUUUGGACAAGUCAUGCCCUUUCAUGGACUUGGGGCUGUACCUCUGGAUGGCCUGGGAUUUGGACUGGAUCAUCCAGAGUUGAAGAUGAGAGCUGGUGAGCUCUACUCCCCUUCUCCAGGUGAAGAAUCUAUUCAUUCAUUCAGUCAUUUGACAUUCAACAAAUAUGUAUUCAACACUGACUUUCUGCCAACUUCUAGGCACUAGGUUACCACAGGGAACAAACCUAGAAGUAAUCCUUCCCCCUUUAGAGCUGAUGUUCCAGGAGACCCAUGUGCACGGCGUGACAUCAUUAAGCAUUCUGAGAUUAGAUGGAUGGAUGUGUGGAUGGAUGAACAGAUGAAUGGAUGAAUGGAUGGAUGGCUGAAUGGAUGGAUAGAUGGGUGGAUGGAUAGAUGGAUAGAUGGGUGGAUGGAUGGAUAGAUGGGUGGAUGGAUGGAUGGAUAGAUGGGUGGAUGGAUGGAUAGAUGGACAGAUGAAUGGAUGGACGGAUAGAUGGACAGAUGAAUGGAUGGAUGGAUGGAUGGUUGGAUGGAUGAAUGGAUGGAUGGAUGGAUAGAUGGGUGGAUGGAUGGAUAGAUGGACAGACAGAUGAAUGAAUGGAUGGAUGGAGGAAUGGAUAGAUAGGUGGGUGGAUGCAUAGAUGGAUAGACAGAUGAAAGAUGGAUGGAUGAAUGGAUGGAUGAUAGAUAGAUGGAUGGACCGAUGAAUAAAUGGAUGAAGGAAUGGAUAGAUAGCUAGGUGGAUGGAUGCGUAGAUGGAUAGACAUAUAAAUGAAUGGAUGGAUGGCAGAUGGAUGGAUGGAUGGCAGAUGGAUGGGUGGAUGGUAGAUGGAUGGAUGGAUGGAUGGAUAGAUGGACAGAGAAAUGAGUGAAUGAAUGGAUCAAUGGAUGGAUGGAUAGACAGAUAGAUGGAUAGACAGAUGAAUGAAUGGAUGGAGGAAUGGAUAGAUGGUGGAUGGAUGCUUAGAUGGAUAGGCAGAUGAAUGGAUUGAUGGGUGGACAGAUGGAUGGAUGGAUAGAUGGAAAGAUAUGAGUGAAUGGAUGAAUGAGUAGAUGGAUGCUAGAUGGAUAGAUGGAUGGACAGAAGAAUGGAUGGAUUGGUGGAUAGAUGGACGGGUGGCUAGAUGGACAGACAGAUGAGUGAAUGGAAGAAUGGAUGGAUGGUAGAUGGAUAGAUGGAUGGACAGAUGAAUGAAUGGAUGGAUGGAUGUGUAGAUAGGUGGAUAGAUGGACAGACAGAUGAACCAAUGGAUGGAUGGCUGGAUGACCAGAGGAAGAAGCCUGCGCCCCAGCUCCCCUCCCUGCAGCUGCAUUUCCAUCUCAGGACAGAGCUGACUGGUUGGGUCUCCCAGAUAGAAAGUGAUGGGUCUUCUGGAUAGAAAGGCAGUGGCCUGGCUGAGGCAGGGCUGGGGAUGAUAGUAGUUGGGCUCUGGGGAGACUUUGGUGAUAGAUGGGCUCGAUGUCAGGGAAGGUGGCCUGGGAGGAGGUGGUAGGGGAUGGGCUGAGUGUUAUGGGCACAGGGGACAGAGUUCAACCAUGUGAGCCUGACUCUCUUCUGCCUCCAUCCAGGUGGGAGACUCUCUUUGGGUUUGAAAAGUCCCAGUCUGAAAUGUGCUGUUUCCCCUGUGCCCUGCCAGGGCCCAGUGUGUUGCGUUCUGG
This 2288-nucleotide long non-coding RNA is filed under the name Homo sapiens (human). RNAcentral describes it as "HSALNT0035869". Lineage: Eukaryota; Metazoa; Chordata; Mammalia; Primates; Hominidae. The record is from RNAcentral.